Molecule: long non-coding RNA, 782 nt
Organism: Dreissena polymorpha
Lineage: Eukaryota; Metazoa; Mollusca; Bivalvia; Myida; Dreissenidae
Exons: 3
Source: RefSeq, a predicted model, not a curated record
AAUGUUUAACCGUAUGCAUCCAAUUACUUAAUAAUCUUCAAAGAUCUUCAAAGGUGUAUGUGAUAACGGAAUCACUGAGCAGUAAGCGUUAAUUCACAUUUAUAUGUAUAAAAUAUUUGAAAACAUUUCGAAAAACCUUAGAUAACUUGAAAAGCUGUAUUACUUAAUAAAAAGUCGACAUAUCGUGGUUUAAGAAGAACAAGGUUGUUGAGAUGGCUACUUCAGCAGAACCGGAUAUGGUUGGAUUGCCCCAGGAAUAUACCGAUCUUUCUGUUAGUGCGCUGGAGAUGAAGACGCUGAUGAAGCUUGCAAGUUAUCUAGAUAGAAAAGGAAAACUGUUGAAUAUUGAAAUCGACAACACUUCUACGGACAUUAUGAAUGACUUCACUGGUCUCGCAAAACUGGCAGGUCAAACAGACUAUCUGGAUACCGUCAAAUUUCAGUAACUGGAAGCUUCAAGGCGACAGAACUUUUCAGAAAUUAUGAAAAUGUUUGGGAAAACAAAAACAAGAGUGCCAUGUCAAGCAUGAAAACACAGCUUCACAUAAACCCAGAACAAAUGCUAUAUGAGUCCAGAACCAGAAAUGAUAUUCUUCGGGACCUAAACACAAAUUUGGAUGAAGAACUCGCGCCCAACUCGUGUCUUUAAAAAAAGAAAUAUUUCAACGUUCAAUUAUUUCCAGAAAUCUUAAUCUGUAUUUACUGAUAUGACAUUAUGUGUAUAUUGUACUCUCAAUAUUAUAAAAAAACUCUGAAUAAAUAUGAAUGUUCUUAAUGUUUUA